Molecule: ribosomal RNA, 497 nt
Filed under: uncultured bacterium
Lineage: Bacteria
Description: partial 16S ribosomal RNA
Rfam family: Bacterial small subunit ribosomal RNA
Source: RNAcentral
GAUGAACGCUGGCGGCGUGCCUAAUACAUGCAAGUCGAGCGAACAGACGAGGAGCUUGCUCCUUCGACGUUAGCGGCGGACGGGUGAGUAACACGUAGGUAACCUACCUAUAAGACUGGGAUAACUUCGGGAAACCGGAGCUAAUACCGGAUAAUAUUUCGAACCGCAUGGUUCGAUAGUGAAAGAUGGCUUUGCUAUCACUUAUAGAUGGACCUGCGCCGUAUUAGCUAGUUGGUAAGGUAACGGCUUACCAAGGCAACGAUACGUAGCCGACCUGAGAGGGGGAUAGGCCACACUGGAACUGAGACACGGUCCAGACUCCUAAGGGAGGCAGCAGUAGGGAAUCGUCCGCAAUGGGCGAAAGCCUGACGGAGCAACGCCGCGUGAGUGAUGAAGGUCUUCGGAUCGUAAAACUCUGUUAUUAGGGAAGAACAAACGUGUAAGUAACUGUGCACGUCUUGACGGUACCUAAUCAGAAAGCCACGGCUAACUACGUG